CUAUCUGUGGUGGGCGUUACGGAAUUGAGAAGACAUGACCUUAGUACGAGAGGACCGGGUCGUACACACCGCUGGUGUAUCUGUUGUGCCGCCAGGUGCAGUGCAGAGUAGCUACGUGUGGCAAGGAUAAGCGCUGAAAGCAUCUAAGCGCGAAACCUUCUUCAAGAUGAGUUCCGUUUUAAGGGUCGUAGUAGACGACUACGUUGAUAGGCUAUAGGUGUAAAGUUGGUAACAACAAAGCCGAGUAGUACUAAUUGCCCGUAAGCUUUUACUUU
RNAcentral lists this ribosomal RNA (275 nucleotides) under Chitinophagaceae bacterium. RNAcentral's name for it is "partial 23S ribosomal RNA". It matches the Rfam family "Bacterial large subunit ribosomal RNA", at positions 2638 to 2925 of the family's 2925-position model. Lineage: Bacteria; Pseudomonadati; Bacteroidota; Chitinophagia; Chitinophagales; Chitinophagaceae. The record is from RNAcentral.